UAUAAACGAUAAUCCUCGAAAAAUCUUUCUUGCUCUUGUUAAGUUAGUAUACCUUCAUUAUUAGAUGAUUUCUUUUUGAUAAAAAUUAUUGUAAUUGAUUGAAAUCAAAGAUAUUAGAUCGCGGUGCUGCUAAUGAGUAAGUAUAAAUGGGUUACAAUAAUAUUGAAAUUAGACGGAUUUAUUAGUGAAAACAAUAAUAAAGGUGGAUUUAAUUGUAAUGUAGGUUUAACAAGUCUAUAUGAGAUAGG
Molecule: ribosomal RNA, 248 nt
Filed under: Scyllarides herklotsii
Lineage: Eukaryota; Metazoa; Arthropoda; Malacostraca; Decapoda; Scyllaridae
Description: partial 12S ribosomal RNA
Source: RNAcentral